RNAcentral lists this unclassified non-coding RNA (532 nucleotides) under Hevea brasiliensis (rubber tree). Lineage: Eukaryota; Viridiplantae; Streptophyta; Magnoliopsida; Malpighiales; Euphorbiaceae. The record is from RNAcentral.
UAUUGGGUGUGAUUCACUUGCCUUUCUACCAUUGGAUAGAUUGAAGAACUUGUUGGGAGAUGAUUCUCCAAAUUAUUGUUAUGCUUGCUUCUCUGGUAGGUACCCAGUCCAGCCAAAGGAAGUUAAAGUGAAAAGGGUUGGUGACUUUAUAGAUGAUGGGUUGAACGGAAGUAUUGAGUCCAUUGAUGGGGGCUGGGUUCAAGGACCUCUAAGUCAUGAUAUGGAGAAAGUUAGCGAAGUCCGGAAGUUGUCAUCCCUGUCAUGAUGUAUACUCUGAUUUGCAGACUUGAUUGGUUAUCAAGGGUAUCAACUGUCAAGUAUGUGAUGCAGAGAGUGGCAGAUGUCUUCAAUGAUUCUAAUAUAACCUCAAUUUAUCCAAGGAAGCAUAUAUAGCCAAAACUAGAACUUUCACAAUUUUGUUGGGUAUUCUAAAUUUUGCAGGAUUUAAUAUAAGCACGUGGUUUUAUCUUUCCUUGACGGUAGACAAUUUCUGCUAAGAACUCAAUAUUCUUUUGACCUUAUUCUAUUUGUA